GCUUCUUUAGCUCAGUGGUAGAGCGUGGGAUUGCAGUGAUUUCCUGCUAGUUAUCCUAAGGUCACUCGUUCGAAUCGGGUAGGAAGCU
This is a non-coding RNA of Neohortaea acidophila, 88 nucleotides long. The record is from the annotation of a RefSeq genome assembly. Lineage: Eukaryota; Fungi; Ascomycota; Dothideomycetes; Mycosphaerellales; Teratosphaeriaceae.